ACACGAGGAAGGAGGUGGUCCGAGAACAUGGUUUCACUCAGGACGCGUGAGGUGGCUGCGCGCUAGCAGCCGGCUGAUAGCCGACAGGGCUGCUGGCGAAUCCACCGCAGCCACCCGACCCGCAGACGAACCGGUCGCACGUCCGCCGGUGCGGUCCCCCCUCUGGGGUGACCACGUCUGCGGGUCGUCUGCG
RNAcentral lists this small RNA (193 nucleotides) under Nocardioides perillae. Its description in RNAcentral is "Actinobacteria sRNA Ms_IGR-5". It matches the Rfam family "Actinobacteria sRNA Ms_IGR-5". The record is from Rfam by way of RNAcentral. Lineage: Bacteria; Bacillati; Actinomycetota; Actinomycetes; Propionibacteriales; Nocardioidaceae.